ACUACAGUCCCCUUUUUUGAUAAAUAUGCUUGUAAUAGUGUUAGUUUAUCUGAGCUGGUUUGGUGUCUUGUGUUAGCGUAACGGUGCAACACUCUGCCGUGUUCUGUAACCCCCCCCUCCCCUCCCCCCUUGCCCCCAACGGGAGGACAGCGACGGUAACCAGUGAUGGGAGUCCUCUAAGGUCUCCGCUGGCAGGUCAGAGGUCCGAGGUCAGGCAUCACUGCUGAGUUUCAACUAACUCUCAGUUCGUGGAGAAAAGUCAAAUAUUUUCUGCGUCCUUUCUGUUGUGUGUGUGUGUGUGUGUGUGUGUGUGUGUGUGUGUGUGUGUGUGUCACUGCCGUUUCAUACGACAGUGUGAAGGCAGAAGGUUUUUUGUUUUUUUGCAGAGCCCCAACACUGACAAAAUAAUAAAAUGUUAGUUAAUUAAGCUGCAGCUGCAUUAUGUUCUUUCGUUUCUCUAAGUUUAUUAAUUAAGAAAUAUUUUAGGUAAAUAAAAGAAGUCAUUGAUGGAGGAAAAAAAGAGACGUAAAGCUUUAUUUAAAUUUUCACUUUUGUUUAGAUUAUUUAACCAACAAUAUUAUUUAUUGUUGUAUUAAGUAAUAUUUAAUGAUGCGUUUACCACAUUCUGUCAGUUUCAGGGCUUCAUACAGCUCCGACUCAAUGCAGUUCAAAGUACAAAUGAUUGCAAAAUAGUAUUCAUUUAAUGAAGCCGUAACGCCUUAUUUUAUUUAGGCAAAAUAGUCUGUUGCACAAUUUGUGCCCAUCAACUUCUCUGAGAUCAACGAGGGUUUUCUGAGUCGUCCUCUCCUUAUUUUUUUCUCCCUCAUACAUUCAUUCAUAGACCAAGUUAAAUUGGUUUGUGGAAUCAGUGGAAUUAUUUUACAGCCCUAACAUUGUUUUUUUCCUAACCGAUAACCCGUUGAAUACCACAAAUGGUCACGAGGUUCUUCUCUCCUCCUCAAUUCGUCUUCGAUCAAAUUGCUAAAUGUAGACCCAGCAGCGUUUGACCCGCUCACAGAACGAACCGGGUCACAAUCAGACGGCUUCGUGGAGGUUUACUGAAGAAUCCGCCCACACUCCCAACAAGGCGAGUACGAUGAGGAAUAAAGUUUGGACUCUCAACCCAGAUGCUGUUUAUGUUUCUUCCUUGUUAAAUGUAAAUCACUGAACCCCCCCACGCCCCCAACCACCUCCUAAACAUUCUUGCUCUUUCGGGGGGAAUGUUUUGUUUAAUAUUUACACCAUCCAUCUACCUCACUUUUUUCCUUUUUUUUUUUUCAAUCUAUUGUCAUGUACAGAAAAGCCUGACCUCUCCUCUGUGACCACUGAGUGCUGUUAACACGGUCACAACGCGUUACUGAGCCCUAGUUUCUGCCUCACGUUGCUCUGCAUCGUUUCUAUGUAAUGCAGAGUAAUCCUCCACCUGGUCAUUCGAUGACCCUCGCUGCUGUUCUCAACGUAUUUACAGAUUCCACAAAGGCUUCUUACAGAUGGUAAAGAAACAAAUUCUCUCUGUCGCACAAUAGAAAAGAGUCUUUCUCCAAAUUGGAAUUGUAUUUUCUCAUCCAGGCAGGUAAAAAUCUUUUGUUUUACAAAAAAAAAAAUCAUUUUUUUUAACAGAAUUAUACAAAUAACAUAAUGAAAACAAAUGUAACCGAUAGUAAAACAAUUUAUUUGAUCAGGAAUGUUUAGAAGAAUCUUUUAGGAUUCUGGGAAAACAAACCGGUUUACGUGUGGCUGGACUUUAGUUAAUGCCGUUUCCAAAACACUACAAUCCUCCUCUCUGUGACUCCCAAGUGAUGUUUGAUGCACCAGAGGCACAAACUGGGACCCGCAGGGUGUCAGCUGGGAACGGAAACGCUCUUUUAAGGUCCACACAUGAAUAAACUUUGAUCUUUAGAAGGGAAAAUGCAGUGUUUUGAAGCAGGGAGUGAGUUACGAAAUAAUUACUCUCUGGUUGGAACUAAAAGACGCUCUACUACAUCUCUGAUGACACAUGGGGCAGCAGGUCGACAAUUAUUCCUCAAUGUUUUCAGAUUGAUGACUUCAUGUUGACUUAAACACUUCCUGACUUACUGUCAGUGACAAGUGCCCAUAAACUGCUUUCUAGUUAGGAAAGGUUUACACUCAACACAACAAUCUGUACCCCGCGUUCAACUGUUUUAAAUGUUCAAUCGGAAGCUGUUUGUUUCUAAUCUAAUAAUUAUACAAUCUAAUCGUUAAUGAGAGGAGUUGAUGAUUACGUCCUCUUUGUGUUUCCGGCCAAUUCUUACCAAAAUGUUGAUGUGCAUAAGAUAUUCACAGCCUUCCAGCUCCUGUGUGUUUCUAUUGAAAUGAUCUGUUCGGAUUGAAGUUUAACAUUGGGAUUUUCUUUUGUACAUGCUGUAAUAAGGUUGUAUUUCCUAUUUUUCCUGUCAUCGAUAUAUUGUGAGUAAUGGUGGGAAACAAUUGGCUGAAAGAAAGGAGUUUUUUUGUUUUUUCUACACAAGAUUUAAGAUGAAUAAAAAUGUAUGCAAAC
Molecule: long non-coding RNA, 2518 nt
Organism: Gasterosteus aculeatus aculeatus (three-spined stickleback)
Lineage: Eukaryota; Metazoa; Chordata; Actinopteri; Perciformes; Gasterosteidae
Source: Ensembl